UGAGGAAUAUUGGUCAAUGGGCGAGAGCCUGAACCAGCCAAGUCGCGUGAAGGAAGACAGUCCUAAGGAUUGUAAACUUCUUUUAUACGGGAAUAACGGGCGAUACGAGUAUUGCAUUGAAUGUACCGUAAGAAUAAGCAUCGGCUAACUCCGUGCAAGCAGCCGCGGUAAUACGGAGGAUGCGAGCGUUAUCCGGAUUUAUUGGGUUUAAAGGGUGCGUAGGUUGUUCGGUAAGUCAGCGGUGAAACCUGAGCGCUCAACGUUCAGCCUGCCGUUGAAACUGCCGGGCUUGAGUUCAGUGGCGGCAGGCGGAAUUCGUGGUGUAGCGGUGAAAUGCAUAGAUAUCACGAGGAACUCCGAUUGCGAAGGCAGCUUGCCAUACUGAGACUGACACUGAAGCACGAAGGCGUGGGUAUCAAACAGG
RNAcentral lists this ribosomal RNA (424 nucleotides) under Fusobacteriota bacterium. RNAcentral's name for it is "Fusobacteria bacterium partial 16S ribosomal RNA". It matches the Rfam family "Bacterial small subunit ribosomal RNA", at positions 355 to 776 of the family's 1533-position model. Lineage: Bacteria; Fusobacteriati; Fusobacteriota. The record is from RNAcentral.